UUAAAUUGAAGAGUUUGAUCAUGGCUCAGAUUGAACGCUGGCGGCAGGCCUAACACAUGCAAGUCGAACGGUAACAGGAAGCAGCUUGCUGCUUUGCUGACGAGUGGCGGACGGGUGAGUAAUGUCUGGGAAACUGCCUGAUGGAGGGGGAUAACUACUGGAAACGGUGGCUAAUACCGCAUAACGUCGCAAGACCAAAGAGGGGGACCUUCGGGCCUCUUGCCAUCAGAUGUGCCCAGAUGGGAUUAGCUUGUUGGUGAGGUAACGGCUCACCAAGGCGACGAUCCCUAGCUGGUCUGAGAGGAUGA
Molecule: ribosomal RNA, 308 nt
Filed under: Salmonella enterica subsp. enterica serovar Johannesburg str. SA20025782
Lineage: Bacteria; Pseudomonadati; Pseudomonadota; Gammaproteobacteria; Enterobacterales; Enterobacteriaceae
Description: partial 16S ribosomal RNA
Rfam family: Bacterial small subunit ribosomal RNA
Source: RNAcentral